GUCGUGAUUCAGUGACCGUCGUGAACGUGCCCGAUUCUCGUCCGGUUUCGGAAGCUAAGCAGGGUUUGAGGCUGCUUCGUACGUGGACGGGAUACCCCUGGGGGAUAGCAGGUAUUGUCGGCU
RNAcentral lists this ribosomal RNA (123 nucleotides) under Petromyzon marinus (sea lamprey). The record is from RNAcentral. Lineage: Eukaryota; Metazoa; Chordata; Hyperoartia; Petromyzontiformes; Petromyzontidae.